RNAcentral lists this ribosomal RNA (532 nucleotides) under Phoma sp. RH25. Its description in RNAcentral is "eukaryotic LSU rRNA". The stretch from base 179 to 332 matches the Rfam family "5.8S ribosomal RNA". The record is from RNAcentral. Lineage: Eukaryota; Fungi; Ascomycota; Dothideomycetes; Pleosporales; Didymellaceae.
AUAUAAAGCGGGUUGGGACUCCCAGCAGCGUGCUCCGGCGCGCUGCUGGCCCGGCCUUUGCUGAAUAUUCACCCAUGUCUUUUGCGUACUAUCUGUUUCCUCGGUGGGUUCGCCCACCAGCAGGACAUUACUAAACCUUUUGUAAUUGCAAUCAGCGUCAGAAAAACAUAAUUAUUACAACUUUCAACAACGGAUCUCUUGGUUCUGGCAUCGAUGAAGAACGCAGCGAAAUGCGAUAAGUAGUGUGAAUUGCAGAAUUCAGUGAAUCAUCGAAUCUUUGAACGCACAUUGCGCCCUUUGGUAUUCCAAAGGGCAUGCCUGUUCGAGCGUCAUUUGAACCCUCAAGCCUUGCUUGGUGUUGGGUGUUUUGUCUUCUUCUCGGAGACUCGCCUUAAAACAAUUGGCAGCCGGCACACUGGUAUUGAAGCGCAGCACAAUUUGCGCUUCUGUCCACGCGUGCCCGCAUCCACAAAGCCCAUUUUUUCACUUUUGACCUCGGAUCAGGUAGGGAUACCCGCUGAACUUAAGCAUA